RNAcentral lists this long non-coding RNA (349 nucleotides) under Equus caballus (horse). RNAcentral's name for it is "lncRNA (ENSECAG00000056058.1)". The record is from RNAcentral. Lineage: Eukaryota; Metazoa; Chordata; Mammalia; Perissodactyla; Equidae.
CAAUUCUGAGCACCGUUUGCAGGGCACGCAGGAUUUGAACCAGCAGAGUUGAGGCAAGACAAAAGGGAAAGAGAUGAGACGGAGAUAAUAUGCUGCAACUUUGCAUGUAUGGGUCAACUUUACCCUGGUUUUGUUACCAGACCAAAGUGAGUCCGCUCCUUGGUAUCCAUUUGCUCCAGCACCAUUUGUUGAAAAGAAGAAAGGCUUGUGAUAAAUUACUGAUUUCACCAUUGAUCAAGUAUGGUGACUUUGUCGAAAAUAAAUUGACUAAGUAAGUGUGGGUCUAUUUCUGUGAUCCCUGUUCUGUUCCACUGAUCCAUCUGUCUAUCAGUCUUUGUGUCAGUAUCAC